AGCCAGCACUUUGGCGAUGUAAGGGAUCAGUGGCAGGUUCAGGAUCAACAACACAAGGUUGCCGAUGAACAUGGACAUGAUCACCGCCCAGAACACCUGAGGCUCGUCGAUCAUCAGGCGGGGGCC
This 126-nucleotide non-coding RNA is filed under the name uncultured Shimia sp. RNAcentral describes it as "Ruegeria cis8 sRNA". It matches the Rfam family "Ruegeria cis8 sRNA". Rfam says of the family: Cis-encoded. Targets hypothetical protein. Higher sRNA expression during C-limited growth. Lineage: Bacteria; Pseudomonadati; Pseudomonadota; Alphaproteobacteria; Rhodobacterales; Roseobacteraceae. The record is from RNAcentral.